RNAcentral lists this long non-coding RNA (938 nucleotides) under Panax ginseng (ginseng). RNAcentral's name for it is "long non-coding RNA (PGIN_LNC006442)". Lineage: Eukaryota; Viridiplantae; Streptophyta; Magnoliopsida; Apiales; Araliaceae. The record is from RNAcentral.
GGGGAUAGACUCUACUGAUAUUCAAUCUGUGGUAGUUAAGGUAAUUAAUAUUAUCUCCUUCCGUAGACAUUUUUGUCCUUUUGAAAUUCUCAUACAGAGUUUUGCUAUAUAUCUGUUCUUUUACUCCUACUAAACCACUUGUGGUAUCUUCUUGAAGUUGAUGCAAGAGAUUGAAGGAUUGAAGGGGUCUCAGUUGAAGCAAACUAUGAAAAUCAGUUCCUUGGAGCAGGAGCUGGUACCAUCUCUCAUCCUGUAGUGUAAUAUGUUUUUGCUCAGCGUUUCUCUACUAUUACAACCAGUUUUCUUUGUUAGAAAAGUUAAUAGGCUUCUUUAAAUUAUUACAUUUAGAACUUGUUUAAUAAUUGAGCAUUUGCAAUUGAAAAUUCAUAAAAAUGCUUCCAUACUAAAUAAAUAAUCAUGGAUUUGCAAAAGGAGAACCAGUAUCAAUAAUCAAUACUGUGUCAAAGUUCCCUGCUCUCAGAAGUUUCAAGUUUAAACUGAUGCUAUAUGUGAUGCUUUUGGUUUUGCUCUUGCUCUAUGGGAGCCGUUACUUGACACUUAACAUAGUUUGUUUCUUGUAUCACUUGUGGUUAUGUAUUCAUAAUUGGACUUGAUUAUAUUUCCUGAUUUUGGUGGUGUUCUGAUGUUCUCCAAACUCUGAAGAAGGCCGAAGUAGGCUAAUAGCAUAGCCUAUAUGAAGAGUUACGAAGAAGCGCAUGAGAAUAUCAAACGGCUCAAGUUCAUUAUUAUCAUCUUGUAUAUUUAUGUAUUUAUAUAUUCUAAAUCAUUCCUUUAUCUAGUUUAUUGGCUGUAAACUUAUGUAGAGUUUCCUGAUCAGGUUGAAUCAAAAGUACAAGUUCAGAAACUGAAUAAGCGGUGCAAUGUGUUGGAAUCUGGAGCAUUUUCUUCAGUUGGGCAUGUGGGAGUAGAGUAUGGAC